CCAGCCUGGAGCUCCCUGUGAGCUGUGCCCGGGAUGAUCCAUCAGAGCCUGGCACAUCCUGGCACGAGGCAGGGAGGGCACAGGAGCUUGGACGCGCUCCCAGCUGGCAGCAGGGUGUGACAGCCACAGCCAGCCCCUGCAGGGGAUGGAUGGAUGGAUGGAUGGAUGGAUGGAUGGAUGGAUGGAUGGAUGGAUGGAUGGAGCACGGCCAGAAACGCAGGAUUCCUGUGUCCCCUCCAAAGGACACGCUGCACAGCCGUCCCACAAGCCUGGGGAUGGAUUUUUCUGCUGCCUGGAGCACGGGCUGGAAAUGCCCCACUGUAAAGUGCCAGAUCCUGCCCUUGGAUUCUGCUUCCCAACAGCUCCAGGACAUCUCUGCAGCCACCCCAGGAGCCACUGAAUUAUUGUGCUCAGUGUUCAGCCUCUCACACCCCAACCCUGCAAUCCCCAGCAAUAGAAAUACAGGAGAUAAAGAAAUAAAGAGAUGCAGUCUGGAUUGGCUUUCUUGGCUCUAGAAAAGGAACAAACAAACAAACAAACAAAUAAAUAA
Zonotrichia leucophrys gambelii is the source of this 550-nucleotide long non-coding RNA. RefSeq lists it as uncharacterized. NCBI's taxonomy places the organism in Eukaryota, Metazoa, Chordata, Aves, Passeriformes, Passerellidae. The record is from RefSeq and is a predicted model, not a curated record. The transcript has 3 exons.